Small nuclear RNA from Otolemur garnettii (small-eared galago), 108 nucleotides. Lineage: Eukaryota; Metazoa; Chordata; Mammalia; Primates; Galagidae. The record is from Ensembl.
GUGCUCAGUUUGGUAGCACAUGUACUAAAAACUGUAACGAUAUAGAAAAGAUGAGCAUGGCCCCUGUGCAAGGAUGACAUGCAAAUUCGUGAAGUGUUUCAUAUUUUU